RNAcentral lists this ribosomal RNA (6280 nucleotides) under Triticum aestivum (bread wheat). RNAcentral's name for it is "partial small subunit ribosomal RNA". The record is from RNAcentral. Lineage: Eukaryota; Viridiplantae; Streptophyta; Magnoliopsida; Poales; Poaceae.
GGAAGAAGGGGCGGUUAAAAAGUGGUAGCGGUUAAAACGCCCGGCCAGUGGCUGCCCUCCCCCCUCUCUUUCUCUCCUCCGCCCGCGCCCGGGGAACCAGCGACCGCUCCCCCUUCACCUGGCCUCCGGAUCCAGAGCGGAGUUCGUGUCCGGGCGCUAGGGAGACGACCGAUCCAGUCCAGGCGCGACGAUGGGGAAGGCGGCGGCGGUGGGCACGGCGGUGGUGGUGUGCGCGGCGGUCGGCACGGCCAUGGUGCUCGGCCGGCGCCGGCGCCGCAGGGACGCGGAGCUGCUCGGCGCGGCCGAGGCCGAGAGGAAGCGCAGGGUGGCGGCCGUCAUCGAGGACGUCGAGCGCACGCUCGCCACGCCCACGGCCCUGCUGCGGGGCAUCUCCGACGCGCUCGUCCUCGAGAUGGAGCGCGGCCUGCGCGGGGACAUCCACUCCCAGCUCAAGAUGCUCAUCAGCUACGUCGACCAGCUCCCCACCGGAGACGAACAUGGCUUGUUUUAUGCAUUGGAUCUUGGAGGUACCAACUUCCGUGUUCUGCGAGUCCAACUUGGAGGAAGGGAGAAACGUGUUGCCAAGCAACAGUAUCAGGAAGUCUCUAUUCCACCACACCUGAUGGUCGGAACUUCCUUGGAACUAUUUGAUUUCAUUGCUUCUGUAUUGGCCAAAUUUAUUGAAACUGAAGGUGACGAGUUCCACCUCCCAGUGGGGAGGCAGAGAGAGCUGGGUUUCACCUUUUCCUUUCCGGUAAACCAAUUAUCAAUAUCAUCAGGAACACUCAUCAAGUGGACAAAGGGCUUUUCAAUCAACGGCGCGGUUGGUGAGGAUGUUGUGGCUGAGUUGAGCAAGGCCAUGGAGAGGCAGGGGCUGGAUAUGAAAGUUUCAGCACUGGUUAAUGACACAGUCGGCACAUUGGCUGGUGGGAGAUAUAUGGAUAAUGAUGUGGUUGCUGCCAUAAUAUUGGGCACUGGUACAAAUGCAGCAUAUGUUGAGCAUGCUAAUGCAAUUCCUAAGUGGACUGGACUACUGCCGAAAUCCGGAAAUAUGGUAAUCAACACGGAAUGGGGAAGCUUUAAAUCGGACAAGCUUCCACUUUCAGAAUACGACAAAGCAUUGGACUUCGAAAGUUUGAACCCUGGAGAACAGAUAUAUGAAAAGUUGAUUUCCGGCAUGUAUCUUGGAGAGAUUGUGCGAAGAAUCUUACUGAAAUUGGCUCAUGAUGCUGCAUUAUUUGGGGAUGUUGUUCCAGCUAAGCUGGAACUGCCAUUCGUACUUAGGACCCCAGAUAUGUCUGCCAUGCACCAUGAUGCAUCACAUGACCUUAAAAUUCUGGGAAGUAAGCUAAAGGAUAUCGUUGGGGUUGCGGAUACUUCCCUGGAAGUAAGAUACAUUACUCGUCACAUAUGUGACAUCGUUGCAGAGCGCGGCGCACGCUUGGCCGCUGCUGGCAUAUAUGGCAUCCUGAAGAAGCUAGGCCGGGACAAGGUGCCAACCGACGGCAGCCCGAUGCCAAGGACCGUGGUUGCCUUGGACGGUGGGCUCUAUGAGCACUACAAGAAGUUCAGCAGCUGCUUAGAGGCAACUCUUUCAGAUCUCCUCGGGGACGAGGCCUCUUCUUCGCUGGUUGCCAAGCUGGCCAAUGACGGCUCUGGCAUUGGAGCUGCUCUCCUCGCCGCUUCGCACUCCCAGUACGCUGAUAUCUACUAGUCUUCUUGGUAACGAGCCCGAUGGAUGGAUUGAACCCAGAGUGUAGCAGCCUCUUCUCUUCCUUUUUUUUUUCUUUUCUUUUCCCUUCGAACCUUCCUAAUCGCCUGGUGGUGGAAUUUUACCUUCUUCGGCUAUUCUGCGGACACUCUCCGGUGCGUCUGCAGCGGGAUGUAGCUAGCAUAGCGCCAAAGAGCUUGGAGGUUUAUCUAAUGGCAUAAAAGUUUCAGUGGCAGGAACAUAUGGAGAUGGAGGUUUGGACAAUGCCAUUCCUGUUCUGCCGAUUCUUUUUCCCCUUGUCUGGUGGUGUUUUGUAAUCCAUAACAUUUUGUUAAUCCUUUUUUUUGUAUUUUCUCCUCCCAAUAAAGAUGAGGAUCGACAUCAUCCAAUUUAACCAUCUUUUUAUGUUGCCUGGUUUCUCCAGUAUAUACAUAUAUGUAUGUCUGAAUGCUCAUCUUUGUCUUCAGAAUAAUACUAGUUUUGUCUGAAUUUGAUGCACUUCAAGCAACUGCUCGUCUCAAGGCUGGCACACUGUGUACAACAUUCCACCAUUGUUAUCUGCUCUGCUCUGAAACUGCACUGUCUUACUACUUAGUUACUACUGAACCUUACAACGUCACUACGGCAUUUCGUCAGACGACAUCGUCGAAGCUACCCUUGCCGUCAGCGGCGUCGGAUAGCCGUUUCCGGCGGCUGCCCCCUCGCACUGCUGGCAGCAGCGGGGCGCCGUCGUACUCGGAGACGGCCGUCUUCUCGUCGAGGUUUUUCCGGUGCGCCUGCUCGCAUCGCAGCAGUAUCUGCAGCACGUCCUUCAUGGUCGGCCGCGUCGACGGCUGAGCGCCGGUGCAGAUGAUGCCGAGCUUGAACACGACAUCGAAGUCGUCACUUUGCCUGGCGUCGCCGAUGCACUCGUCCGCCGCGUCAGCGAUGCUCUUCCCGGACUGCAGGUGCCGCCACGCCCACUCCGCCAGCGAGCAGUGCUCGCCGCCGUUGCCGGCCUCCCUGCCGGUGGCCAGCUCCAGCAGCACCACCCCGAAGCUGUACACGUCCACCUUCUCGUUCGCCUUCCUCGUGUACCCGCACUCUGCAAUCAGACCACGGCGAACAAUAUGAGCCACCGAGCUGCAAGAAAUUUCGGCGUCGAGGAUUACUAUCAAGGUGAGGUGAUCGGUGCGUACCUGGAGCCAUGUAGCCGAAGGUUCCGGCGACGGCGGACACGGUGUCGUGCGGCGUCGUGCCGGCGGCCUCGGCGAGUAUCCUGGCGAGCCCGAAGUCGGCGACCUUGGCGUUGAGCUCCGCGUCGAGCAGGAUGUUGCUGCACUUGACGUCCCGGUGCACCACCGGCGGGGAGCACUCGUGGUGCAUGUAGCUCAGCCCCCGCGCCGCGCCCACGGCCACCCUCACCCUCGCCGGCCAGUUCAGCGGCGCUCGCCUGGCCGAGGGGGCCCUCGCCGGCAUCGAGCUCCCAGCCGGCGCCGGCCACCUGUGGCCGUGGAGCCACUUGUCCAGGCUGCCGUUGCCCAUGUACUCGUAGACGAGGAGCUUGGUCUCCGCGCGGGAGAGGCAGCACAGGAGCUUGACGAUGUUGGUGUGCCGGACGUGGCCGAGCACCUCCACCUCCGACUCGAACUCCCGCUCCAGCUUCCUCUCCACCUUCCCGCCGGUCCAGAUGCGCUUCACGGCCACCACCGUGCCGCCGCUCGCGCCGCUCCGGCUGGGGCACUCCACGCGGUACACCCGUCCCGACCCGCCCUUGCCGAUGAGGUUCUCGUCGACGAGCCCGCGCAGCACGGGGCCCUCGCCGAAGUCCAGCGGCUGGAAAGGGGUGAGCUUCCAGGCCUCUUCGGGCGGCGCGAGCCCCUUCCGCCUCUUCAUGUCGCGGACGAUGAAGAAGGCGAGCGCCGCGAUGACGACGAGUAGCGCGGCGGCAGCGGCGACAAGGCCGAUGCGGAGGCCUGGUGACACCUUGUCGGAUGACCGGGCUGCGCACGAGCCCACGCCGGCGAGGUUCCCCGACGACGCCGCGCCCGUGCAGAGCGCGCGGUUGCCCAGGAAGCUUCGGUCGUAGGCGGGGACAGCGAGCGCCUCCGGGACCUCGCCGGCGAGGUCAUUGGAUGACAGGUUUAGCUGGUUCAGCCUCAGCGAUCCCAGCGCUGGCGGGAUGCUGCCGGAGAGUUGGUUGGAUGAGAGGUCGAGCAGGGUGAGCACCGGCAUGGAGCCCAACCCCGCCGGUAUCUCGCCGGUGAGCUGGUUGUUGCUGAAGUUCAUCUGCGUCAGGCCACCGAGCGACGCGAUGCUCGCCGGGAUCGCGCCCGACAGCUGGUUGGACGACAGGAUGAACUCCUGCAGCAGCGGCAUGCCGGCGGUGAGCCCCGCGGGUAUCUCGCCGGAGAAGGAGUUGUUCCCGGCGUUGAACUUCUGCAGCUUAGCCGCCGACGACGGAAGGCUGCCUCUGAACUUGUUAUUCAUGAUGUAGAGCCUCGUCAUGUUCCAAAACAGCGUCUCUGGCAGGGUGCCGGUGAGCCCUCCAUUGUUCUGCAAAAGCAGAGUCAUCAGCUUCGUCUCCGUCCAGAGCGCGGCCGGCACCUCGCCGGAAAGCUUGUUGUCUUGGAGCUGCAGGCUUAUGAGCGCGGGGCACUUGGCGAGGCUGGCCGGGAUCGAGCCGUUCAGGCGGUUGCCGGAGGCGGUGAUGAUCCACAGCCGGCGGUUCUUGCAGACCCCCGCAGGUAUCGGCCCGGAGAGGUCGUUGUCGUCGACCUGGAUGUCUCUCAGCGACGGCGAGUGCAUCCCGAGCUCCGCCGGAAGCGCCCCCGUGAGUUUGUUCUCAAACAGCCACAGGAACACCAGCGACGGUAGCUGGGCGAGGCUCGCCGGUAUCUCGCCGGAGAAGCCGUUGCCGCUCAAGCAUAAUUUGCUAAGCUUCGUCAAUGUUCCGAGGCUUUCCGGGAUCGCGCCGGUCAGCUUGUUGUAGGACAGGUCGAUCUCGAUUAGACCCGCCGCUCCGAUGGCGCCAUCGAUGACGACGCCACCGGUGAGGUUGUUAUAGUGUAAGUACAACAUCUGCAGCUUGGUGAGGUUCCAGAUCGACGGUGGAAUGUUCCCGGUGAACGCGUUGGUCGACAGGUCAAGCCACACCAACUCCGACAGCUCCGGGAGGUAGCUCGGGAACUCGCCGGUGAGGUUGCAUCCGGCUAGCCAGACAGUGGCCAGCUUCGCCAAGUUCUUGAACGACUCCGGCAGCUUGCCGGGGCCGAAAUGGUUGUGCUCGAGCUUGAGCGUCUGGAGGCCAGUCAGCUCCCCGAGCUCCGGCGGGAUGGUGCCGGUGAGCUGGUUGCUGUCGAGAGCGAGGACCGUCAGGUUCUUGAGCUUGGACAGCGCGGGCGGCACCUCGCCGGUGAAGCCGUUGCCGUUCAGGGCCAGGUAGGUGAGGUUCCCCCCGAGGCGGCCGAUGUCUGCGGGGAGGUUGCCCGCGAGUUUGUUCAUCGAGAGGUCGAGGUGCGUGAGGCCCGUGCAGUUGUAGAGGGACUCCGGGAAGCCGCCGCUGACGCUGGUGUUGCUGAGGUCGAGCGUGGCGAGGCCGGUGAGCCGGCCGAUGGCGUCGGGGACGGGGCCGGAGACGGUGACGUUCGACAGGGCGAGGGAGGUCACCCGGCCGGCGCCGUCGCAGGAGACGUGGGCCCAGCCGGUGCAGGGCGAGCCCGUGGCCGCCGACCACGACGCGAGCUCCGGCGGGUCGCCCCACGCGCGCUUGACCUCGAGCAGGAGCUGCCGCUCGUCGGCCUGCUGCGCCGCGGCGUGGCGCAGGUGCAGGACGAGGCAGAGCGCGAGGAGUGGGAGAUAGGCGCGGUGUGGCGACGCCAUGGUCGCCGGUCGGUUUCCGGCCGCCGGAGCACGGAAGCGUGCGACCGUGCGUUCAGUUUGGUUGGCGGGAGCGGCCUGCCAUCGCUGACCCCGGUGUGGAAACGUGUGGCGCGUUAUGUAGUGGGAACUGGCCACGGCCGGUGUUUUUCCCCUUUUCUUUUUGUCCUUUUUAAUUCCUUUUUCAUUCUGUUGGAUAGUGUGCUCGUUGGGGUUGUCGGGUGGUGCUUGCUUGGAAGCUUCAAUCUUGGUUUCUACUUGGUUGUUUAAUUCGUGUUUGCUACAUGUGUUGUUAGUGUGGGGUUUAGGCAGGGCCAAAUUAAUUGGACCGAAGGGGACAUGUUCUAGAUGGUUAGUAUACCACGCGCCGCGAUGACCGUGCCGCCGGCCACCUCUGCCGAUGCCUCUCUUUCCCCACCCCACCCUUCUCGACGCCCCUCUCGUCUUACCGCCCUGCGCCGCUGGCCGAGAUUUUAGAAUGGGCCCGCCGAUAUCCAACUUCCUUGAGCCUAUGCACAUAUGCACCUCCGACCUCCCCUUCCUCGACUCCUCCAUACCCUGUGCCGCAACUCUUCACCAGCCGAGCUCUCCCCCUGUCGUCGGUCGCCGCUCCCUCCUCAAUGAAGGCGAGUGUCGCCUCCUGAGAGUACAACCGCGCCACUGCUACCGCAUCAUGUUUUUUUUCUUUCACAAAUUGAUCUUGUAGAUGAG